UACAGAGGUUGCAAGCGUUGUUCGGAUUUAUUGGGCGUAAAGGGUUCGUAGGCGGACCGGAAAGUCAGAUGUGAAAUCCCACAGCUCAACUGUGGAACUGCAUUUGAAACUUCCGGACUAGAGUGUGAGAGGGGUAAAGGGAAUUCCCGGUGUAAGGGUGAAAUCUGCAGAGAUCGGGAGGAACACCAGUCGCGAAGGCGCUUUACUGGCUCACUACUGACGCUCAGGAACGAAAGCUAGGGUAGCAAACGGG
RNAcentral lists this ribosomal RNA (253 nucleotides) under uncultured bacterium. RNAcentral's name for it is "partial 16S ribosomal RNA". It matches the Rfam family "Bacterial small subunit ribosomal RNA", at positions 524 to 776 of the family's 1533-position model. The record is from RNAcentral.